RNAcentral lists this ribosomal RNA (253 nucleotides) under uncultured bacterium. RNAcentral's name for it is "partial 16S ribosomal RNA". It matches the Rfam family "Bacterial small subunit ribosomal RNA", at positions 524 to 776 of the family's 1533-position model. The record is from RNAcentral.
UACGGAGGGUGCGAGCGUUGUCCGGAAUCAUUGGGCGUAAAGGGCGCGUAGGUGGCGGGACAAGCGUGCGGUGAAAGCCUGGGGCUCAACCCCGGGUCGGCCGUGCGAACUGUUUUGCUUGAGCACUGUAGAGGCAGGCGGAAUUCCGGGUGUAGCGGUGGAAUGCGUAGAUAUCCGGAGGAACACCGAUGGCGAAGGCAGCUUCCUGGCCCGUAUCUGACGCUGAGGUGCGAAAGCGUGGGGAGCGAACGGG